UACGAAGGGGGCUAGCGUUGUUCGGAUUCACUGGGCGUAAAGGGUGCGUAGGCGGGUCUUUAAGUCAGGGGUGAAAUCCUGGAGCUCAACUCCAGAACUGCCUUUGAUACUGAAGAUCUUGAGUUCGGGAGAGGUGAGUGGAACUGCGAGUGUAGAGGUGAAAUUCGUAGAUAUUCGCAAGAACACCAGUGGCGAAGGCGGCUCACUGGCCCGAUACUGACGCUGAGGCACGAAAGCGUGGGGAGCAAACAGG
Molecule: ribosomal RNA, 253 nt
Filed under: uncultured bacterium
Lineage: Bacteria
Description: partial 16S ribosomal RNA
Rfam family: Bacterial small subunit ribosomal RNA
Source: RNAcentral